Molecule: long non-coding RNA, 627 nt
Organism: Trichomycterus rosablanca
Lineage: Eukaryota; Metazoa; Chordata; Actinopteri; Siluriformes; Trichomycteridae
Exons: 4
Source: RefSeq, a predicted model, not a curated record
CAUAGAUAAUAACAGCAUCACCUAGACCCUCCUUAUACACUCACUCAUACAAUAUUAACGGCUGUAAGUUUAUUAUUGACGGGAUGUUGGAAUGAAAUCAGGGUUCUGAUGGCUGAGGUGCAGGACAGAACACAGAUGAUCAUUUGCUGCUAUAAGAACCGUGUUCAUCUGUGGUAGUUUAAUGUGUUACUGGGCUGGUUGUAGCAAUAUCAGUAAAGAAAGCAGUAAAACACAAUAGCAAGUGUGCAGGACUACAAGCCUGUAGGACUAUUGAGGGAGAGUCACACUACACCACAAUCCUUCACCAGCACCCAUAUAUGAACCCAGCUGAGGUGCUUUGCUAGCUGCAUGAGACUGCUGGAAAUAUUAACCUGUCAGACCAUCAGACCAGAACCACAGGAAGCUCCAGCACAUCGUACACUGUGUUGUAAAUGACAGUAGAUGAGAGGAGACUAGCAGACCAGCACCAGCGCAUCAUGUGUCACACAGCUGUACAUCAACUUCUGGUGCUAAAAUAUCCUCACCAGUGCAGUCCAACAACCACAGAAGAUCCCUGUCCAUGAUAUUCAAGAUCAACCUGAAGAGACUCCACAGAUCUUCAGUCACAUCAACUGUAGUCUGUUUAAU